AUACAAAAUGACUCUCGGCAACGGAUAUCUCGGCUCUUGCAUCGAUGAAGAACGUAGCGAAAUGCGAUACUUGGUGUGAAUUGCAGAAUCCCGUGAACCAUCGAGUCUUUGAACGCAAGUUGCGCCCGAAGCCAUUAGGUGGAGGGCACGCCUGCCUGGGUGUCACAC
RNAcentral lists this ribosomal RNA (168 nucleotides) under Pueraria montana. RNAcentral's name for it is "5.8S ribosomal RNA". It matches the Rfam family "5.8S ribosomal RNA". Rfam says of the family: 5.8S ribosomal RNA (5.8S rRNA) is a component of the large subunit of the eukaryotic ribosome. It is transcribed by RNA polymerase I as part of the 45S precursor that also contains 18S and 28S rRNA. The record is from RNAcentral. RNAcentral also lists the same sequence under 2 other names. Lineage: Eukaryota; Viridiplantae; Streptophyta; Magnoliopsida; Fabales; Fabaceae.